ACAGCUGAUUGGUGUGCCACUGAUUUAGGAGAGAAUUUAAAAGAGAGGAUAUAUAGAGUAAUUUAAUUUUGAUCUCUACGCAACGAUAAACCAUUGCGACUUUCUCAAUAAACUAACAAAAUGAAAAUUUCUACAAGAGAAUUCCUAUGCAAAUUUUGAUUCGAGAUAGAUUUCUGGUGGAAAAGUAAUUUAUAGGCAUAAAAAAAAAACACAUUAUAGUGAAACCAAUACAUUCU
Non-coding RNA from Cinara cedri, 236 nucleotides. Lineage: Eukaryota; Metazoa; Arthropoda; Insecta; Hemiptera; Aphididae. The record is from the annotation of a GenBank genome assembly.